This 1477-nucleotide ribosomal RNA is filed under the name Lacticaseibacillus rhamnosus. Its description in RNAcentral is "bacterial SSU rRNA". It matches the Rfam family "Bacterial small subunit ribosomal RNA". The record is from RNAcentral. Lineage: Bacteria; Bacillati; Bacillota; Bacilli; Lactobacillales; Lactobacillaceae.
GGGGGGGGGGGUGCUAUACAUGCAAGUCGAACGAGUUCUGAUUAUUGAAAGGUGCUUGCAUCUUGAUUUAAUUUUGAACGAGUGGCGGACGGGUGAGUAACACGUGGGUAACCUGCCCUUAAGUGGGGGAUAACAUUUGGAAACAGAUGCUAAUACCGCAUAAAUCCAAGAACCGCAUGGUUCUUGGCUGAAAGAUGGCGUAAGCUAUCGCUUUUGGAUGGACCCGCGGCGUAUUAGCUAGUUGGUGAGGUAACGGCUCACCAAGGCAAUGAUACGUAGCCGAACUGAGAGGUUGAUCGGCCACAUUGGGACUGAGACACGGCCCAAACUCCUACGGGAGGCAGCAGUAGGGAAUCUUCCACAAUGGACGCAAGUCUGAUGGAGCAACGCCGCGUGAGUGAAGAAGGCUUUCGGGUCGUAAAACUCUGUUGUUGGAGAAGAAUGGUCGGCAGAGUAACUGUUGUCGGCGUGACGGUAUCCAACCAGAAAGCCACGGCUAACUACGUGCCAGCAGCCGCGGUAAUACGUAGGUGGCAAGCGUUAUCCGGAUUUAUUGGGCGUAAAGCGAGCGCAGGCGGUUUUUUAAGUCUGAUGUGAAAGCCCUCGGCUUAACCGAGGAAGUGCAUCGGAAACUGGGAAACUUGAGUGCAGAAGAGGACAGUGGAACUCCAUGUGUAGCGGUGAAAUGCGUAGAUAUAUGGAAGAACACCAGUGGCGAAGGCGGCUGUCUGGUCUGUAACUGACGCUGAGGCUCGAAAGCAUGGGUAGCGAACAGGAUUAGAUACCCUGGUAGUCCAUGCCGUAAACGAUGAAUGCUAGGUGUUGGAGGGUUUCCGCCCUUCAGUGCCGCAGCUAACGCAUUAAGCAUUCCGCCUGGGGAGUACGACCGCAAGGUUGAAACUCAAAGGAAUUGACGGGGGCCCGCACAAGCGGUGGAGCAUGUGGUUUAAUUCGAAGCAACGCGAAGAACCUUACCAGGUCUUGACAUCUUUUGAUCACCUGAGAGAUCAGGUUUCCCCUUCGGGGGCAAAAUGACAGGUGGUGCAUGGUUGUCGUCAGCUCGUGUCGUGAGAUGUUGGGUUAAGUCCCGCAACGAGCGCAACCCUUAUGACUAGUUGCCAGCAUUUAGUUGGGCACUCUAGUAAGACUGCCGGUGACAAACCGGAGGAAGGUGGGGAUGACGUCAAAUCAUCAUGCCCCUUAUGACCUGGGCUACACACGUGCUACAAUGGAUGGUACAACGAGUUGCGAGACCGCGAGGUCAAGCUAAUCUCUUAAAGCCAUUCUCAGUUCGGACUGUAGGCUGCAACUCGCCUACACGAAGUCGGAAUCGCUAGUAAUCGCGGAUCAGCACGCCGCGGUGAAUACGUUCCCGGGCCUUGUACACACCGCCCGUCACACCAUGAGAGUUUGUAACACCCGAAGCCGGUGGCGUAACCCUUUUAGGGAGCGAGCCGUCUAAGGUGGACCAAAAAUG